This 1472-nucleotide ribosomal RNA is filed under the name Vancleaveus janauacaensis. RNAcentral's name for it is "eukaryotic LSU rRNA". It matches the Rfam family "Eukaryotic large subunit ribosomal RNA", at positions 82 to 1267 of the family's 3401-position model. The record is from RNAcentral. Lineage: Eukaryota; Metazoa; Platyhelminthes; Monogenea; Dactylogyridea; Dactylogyridae.
AGUAACGGCGAGGGAACGGAGAUUAGCCCAGCCCCGAAGCCUAUUCACGCUUGUGGACAAGGCAAUGUGGUGUUUAGGCGUGCACCUGGGAUGACUCGUCUACUCGAAGUCCUCUCCGAUUAUGGUCUUGGAUUUGUCCCAAAGAGGGUGAAAGGCCCGUUCGAGUAGACAUGCAGCAUUCUGAGUCAUCCUCUGAUUUGCACGCCUUGGAGUCGGAUUGCUUGAGAAUGCAGUCCAAAGUGGGUGGUAAACUCCAUCCAAGGCUAAAUACCUGCACGAGUCCGAUAGUAAACAAGUACCGUGAGGGAAAGUUGAAAAGUACUCUGAAGAGAGAGUAAAUAGUACGUGAAGCCGCCUGUUGGGAAGCGGAUGGAGUCAAGCUUCAUGCCUGAUUGAUUAGUGCUGCGAGAUCUCCUUGUUUAUAUGAUCGUUACUGAUGGUUUGCCUGGAAAUGGUGAGGCGGAUUAUCCGCUUCCUGCAAUCUGGGUUGCUUGCUUGAGCCAUCAGUUUCGGUUAGUCUCGCGCAUCCUAUCACCAGGCCUACAUCACGGUUGAUAGCCUCUUGGUGCUUGAUAGUCAAACCAUGUCCGUGUGGGUUAAGGCCUGCUGGUCGUGGGCUGGCAGGUGGUUGCAGAGCAUAGCGAUAUGCCUUUCAACUUAUGUUGUUUACAGCCGACUAUCAAGCCAAUGCUUUACUAUUUCGAGCUAUCAAUUUUCGUUCAACCAAUUGCCCUUACCGGCAGUUGGUGAGAGAACCGUGGUGUUGGAGUAGAUUUUCCAUCCGACCCGUCUUGAAACACGGACCAAGGAGUUUAACAUGCUGGCAAGUUAUUGGACUAUUUGAACUCCAAUGGCGCAAUGAAAGUAAAUGAUCAGCUUGCUGAUCUCAGGUGUGAUGCUGGGUUUCAUUAGACCGGAGCCAAGCCGCAACACCGGCCCGUCUCUGGAUGUAGUCAUCUUUGUCUUUUCAUUGGUGCAUCAUCGAGGCGGAGCAAGAGCCAGCAUGUUGAGACCCGAAAGAUGGUGAACUAUGCUUGCGUAGGUCGAAGCCAGAGGAAACUCUGGUGGAGGACCGUCGCGGUUUUGACGUGCAAAUCGAUCGUCAAACGUGUGCAUAGGGGCGAAAGACUAAUCGAACCAUCUAGUAGCUGGUUCCCUCCGAAGUUUCCCUCAGGAUAGCUGGCAAUCAUUUCGCUGAGACAGUUUUAUCCGAUAAAGCGAAUGAUUAGAGGUAUUGGGAACUAAUUGUUCUCAACCUAUUCUCAAACUAUAAAUGGGUACGAUGCUGGGCUCGCUUAAUUGGAGCUCUAGCAUUGAAUGUGAUUGCCAAGUGGGCCAUUUUUGGUAAGCAGAACUGGCGCUGUGGGAUGCUCCGAACGUGCAGUUAAGGUGCCACAUGCGGACGCUCAUGAGACACCAAAAAAGGUGUUAAUGCAUUAAGACAGCAGGUCGGUGGCCAUGAAAGUCGGAAA